Molecule: transfer RNA, 85 nt
Filed under: Methanospirillum hungatei
Lineage: Archaea; Methanobacteriati; Methanobacteriota; Methanomicrobia; Methanomicrobiales; Methanospirillaceae
Also listed under: 3 other names
Rfam family: tRNA
About the family: Transfer RNA (tRNA) molecules are approximately 80 nucleotides in length. Their secondary structure includes four short double-helical elements and three loops (D, anti-codon, and T loops).
Source: RNAcentral
GUGGGAGUAUCCGAGCCAGGUCAAAGGAGCAGGGUUGAGGGCCCUGUCGCGAAGGCGUUCGAGGGUUCAAAUCCCUUCUCCCACA